This 253-nucleotide ribosomal RNA is filed under the name uncultured bacterium. Its description in RNAcentral is "partial 16S ribosomal RNA". It matches the Rfam family "Bacterial small subunit ribosomal RNA", at positions 524 to 776 of the family's 1533-position model. The record is from RNAcentral.
UACGUAGGGUGCAAGCGUUGUUCGGAAUUACUGGGCGUAAAGCGUGCGCAGGCGGUUUGUUUUGUCAGGUGUGAAAUCCCCGGGCUUAACCUGGGAACUGCGGUUGUAACUGGCAAGCUAGAGUGUGGCAGAGGGGGGUGGAAUUCCAAGUGUAGCAGUGAAAUGCGUAGAUAUUUGGAGGAACACCAAUGGCGAAGGCAGCCCCCUGGGUUAACACUGACGCUCAUGCACGAAAGCGUGGGGAGCAAACAGG